AUUGAACGCUGGCGGCAGGCCUAACACAUGCAAGUCGAGCGGAUGAGAAGAGCUUGCUCUUCGAUUCAGCGGCAGACGGGUGAGUAAUGCCUAGGAAUCUGCCUAGUAGUGGGGGACAACGUUUCGAAAGGAACGCUAAUACCGCAUACGUCCUACGGGAGAAAGUGGGGGAUCUUCGGACCUCACGCUAUUAGAUGAGCCUAGGUCGGAUUAGCUAGUUGGUAGGGUAAAGGCCUACCAAGGCGACGAUCCGUAACUGGUCUGAGAGGAUGAGCAGUCACACUGGAACUGGGACACGGUCCAGACUCCUACGGGAGGCAGCAGUGGGGAAUAUUGGACAAUGGGCGAAAGCCUGAUCCAGCCAUGCCGCGUGUGUGAAGAAGGCCUUCGGGUCGUAAAGCACUUUAAGUUGGGAGGAAGGGCUCAUAGCGAAUACCUGUGAGUUUUGACGUUACCAACAGAAUAAGCACCGGCUAACUUCGUGCCAGCCGCCGCGGUAA
Molecule: ribosomal RNA, 500 nt
Filed under: uncultured bacterium
Lineage: Bacteria
Description: partial 16S ribosomal RNA
Rfam family: Bacterial small subunit ribosomal RNA
Source: RNAcentral